GUUGCACACAAAUAUUCUGUAAGACAAUGUGUCUUUCUCCUUUCUUAAAAAAAAACAAAACUUCAGUUUCUAUUUUAUUCAGCACAAUCCCAUUCCCUUGAAGCUACUUAUACUGUAAAAUAAACCAUCUCCAGAUGAGAAAAAUACCGCUGGGACAAUGCUGCCUAAUCGCGUCUUCCAGGAGCGUCCUCCAAAUGCUACUGAAUCAACCCGGCCUCUCUCACCCACGGAAAUCCCCACACUCAGAGCCCUCUGCUGAGUCGGCGUCAGGUGUGAGGAUGGUCACCAAGCCGGGAGGAAGAUUUGCCUUCCAGGAGGAUGAACCUCAGAAGCUGCGGGGCAGCAGGGUGCGGCUGGGAGCCCUCGGGUGUUUGAUUUUGCUGUUUCCAGGGAAAGAUGCCGCACAGUGAGUGAGCGCUGUUCCUGGUAGGUGCUGAGUGUCUCCUUUCCUCUGAUCCUCGCACCCUUACUUCCUGCCCCACCUGGCCCUGCUGACUUCCAGUCCUGCCUCCAGCUGCCGUCCUGCCCUCUCCUCCUCCUGCUUUUCCUCCGGACUCUGCCAAAGUGAGUGAGUUCUCCAACCAGCUUGCAUCAGGGUAUCGCCCUUCCUGCUACCUUCUCACGGGGCGGAGCCCAGACUCCCUGCCCCACGCGUCCUCCUCCCACCUCAAGCCUUCCUGGUUGCCUGUGACGCGGGUCCAGCCCACUGUGUCUCCCAGGCUCGCUCCGCAGAUGCAGGCCGACUCCCCUCCUGAGUCACUGGCGCGGCAGUGGUAGUUACCCUACCUCCCGGAAUAGACCGCACAGCCCUACCCUUGCCAGCUAAUUAUCUGCAGGAGAAAUGAGCAGAGGGCAGCAAUCACUCAUUAUUUCUGCAUUCCCCGGCCUAGCGCGAGAGCUUAAUAUUUGGGUUAAUGAAUGUUCAUUACUGGAAUUAAAUAACUUAAUGAUCAGUGCUUUCUUAAAAGGCUUUUUCUUUGCUUCUUUGCAGUAUCAGAAUCAAACCUGGAGGACUCCACUCCUGAACUACAUCUCCAUACCAUGCUAACACUGCUACUAACCCUUUUUUAAAAGUUUGAGAUACAGCCUCAUUCUAUUGCCCAGGCUAGCUUCAAACUUAGGACCCUCCUGCCUCAGCCUCCUGAGUAGUAUUAUAGGAAUGUACCACCAGGCCUGGCCAGAGUAUUAAAAAAAGAAAAAAAUGACCUGCACAGCUCUACCAGCAGUGCUGGGAAACUGCUGGGAAAGGCUGGGAGGGGCCUGGGCCUCGAUCCCCGGACCCAGUCUCUCCAUGACUCCGGUUGCAAACCGAGCUGGACAAGAACUGGAUCAAAUGUCCCUUUAUGCUCGAAUUGAACCUAACCAUUGGAUUUGAUUUGGUUCUCACUCAAGAAUUGUGGAAGAAUCGAGUUCGUGUACUGUGUUCGUGGCCCAUUGGAUUUCAUAGCAAGCCAGGAUACCACGGCCUUUGAUUUCAGAAUUCUAAAC
This 1488-nucleotide long non-coding RNA is filed under the name Fukomys damarensis (Damara mole-rat). RNAcentral describes it as "lncRNA (ENSFDAG00000027366.1)". Lineage: Eukaryota; Metazoa; Chordata; Mammalia; Rodentia; Bathyergidae. The record is from RNAcentral.